UACGUAGGGGGCAAGCGUUGUCCGGAAUCAUUGGGCGUAAAGAGCGUGUAGGCGGCCAGAAAAGUCCGCUGUGAAAACUCGAGGCUCAACUUCGAGCUGUCGGUGGAAACUUUCUGGCUAGAGUCCGGAAGAGGAGAAUGGAAUUCCUGGUGUAGCGGUGAAAUGCGCAGAUAUCAGGAAGAACACCCGUGGCGAAGGCGGUUGUCUGGGACGGUACUGACGCUGAGACGCGAAAGCGUGGGGAGCGAACAGG
Molecule: ribosomal RNA, 253 nt
Filed under: uncultured bacterium
Lineage: Bacteria
Description: partial 16S ribosomal RNA
Rfam family: Bacterial small subunit ribosomal RNA
Source: RNAcentral